AGUGUCUGCGAGCAGCACCUGGCACGCGAUGAGCCUGACACCAUCGGCGCCUGGCUGCUUUGGUGACAGCUGGAAGAGGGAGGUACUUGAGAGAAAACUUUCAAGGAAAAGUUUUAAUGUGGCUGUUAGCGAAAGUGAGCCAGUAGCUCUCAGAAAAGGUGUGGAGGUCCCCAGAUGAAGAUGACUGGGGUCAUUCUGUGCUCCAGCCCGGGUGUGUGGGAACCACAGCCAGAAAGGAAAGAGAAGGCAAUGGCGGAGGACCGGGCGCAUGGGAAGGAAGGCGGCAGUCUCCUGCCCUCACACGGUGACAGUGACAUGGGGGAGGAGGGAAUACAGCUUAGCUCCCUGGUGAUGGAAGAUUCUAGAGGACACACAGUGUGACCCAGGGCUCAGCACGAACUUUGGCACAAGACGGACAGACGCACUUGAGUUUCCAUCAGGCCCUCAGCAAUGACUGCACAUGUGAUCGUGG
RNAcentral lists this long non-coding RNA (472 nucleotides) under Cavia porcellus (domestic guinea pig). Its description in RNAcentral is "lncRNA (ENSCPOG00000038346.1)". The record is from RNAcentral. Lineage: Eukaryota; Metazoa; Chordata; Mammalia; Rodentia; Caviidae.